RNAcentral lists this ribosomal RNA (431 nucleotides) under uncultured bacterium. RNAcentral describes it as "bacterial SSU rRNA". It matches the Rfam family "Bacterial small subunit ribosomal RNA", at positions 75 to 518 of the family's 1533-position model. The record is from RNAcentral.
GCCGGAAGUGGAAUGGUAAACUAGUGGCGGACGGGUGAGUAACGCGUGGGUAACCUACCCCAGUACAGGGGGAUAGCAGCUGGAAACGGCUGAUAAAACCGCAUAAAACGGCAGCAGGGCAUCCUGCAACCGUCAAAUAUUUAUAGGGUAUGGGAUGGGCCCGCGUCUGAUUAGAUAGUUGGUGGGGUAACGGCCUACCAAGUCAGCGAUCAGUAGCCGGCCUGAGAGGGUGAACGGCCACAUUGGGACUGAGACACGGCCCAAACUCCUACGGGAGGCAGCAGUGGGGAAUAUUGGACAAUGGGGGGAACCCUGAUCCAGCCGACGCCGCGUGAGUGAAGAAGUAUUUCGGUAUGUAAAGCUCUAUCAGCAGGGAAGAUGAUGACGGUACCUGACUAAGAAGCCCCGGCUAACUACGUGCCAGCCGCCGC